AGAGGAGGUAGGGAGUCAGUCUUACGGUUCCUUUACCUCCUGCCUGUUCAACUCUAAAAACGUGCUUUUUCUGACCCUCUGCAUGCUGGGCACCCGGUUAAUGCCUGUUCACUUGAAUUGAAUUCCAGGUGUGCAACAUGGCAGCCUGGCCCAUGCCCUGUCUCCGGCUCGUUGACAAAGGCUUCCCAAUGGAAGGGAUAGUUAAGCUGAGAUUUGAAAGAAGGAAGGAGAGAUCAUUUGGACAAUUCACACCAGGUUCAGAAGGGUGCGUGCACACACACACACUGUAAGCAUCACCCAAUCCUUUGAAAUGUGGACAGCACGUCCUCAGAGGAAAAUCUGAAGUCUCCGUUCUUCCCAUACCACUGUAAAAGUUGAGCAUUGUGGGGGCUGGCCCCGUGGCCGAGUGGUUAAAGUUCGCGCGCUCCGCUGCAGGCGGCCCAGUGUUUCGUCGGUUCGAAUCCUGGGCGCGGACAUGGCACCGCUCAUCAGACCACGCUGAGGCAGCGUCCCACAUGCCACAACUAGAGGAACCCACAACGAAGAAUACACAACUAUGUACCGGGGGGCUUUGGGGAGAAAAAG
RNAcentral lists this long non-coding RNA (585 nucleotides) under Equus caballus (horse). RNAcentral's name for it is "lncRNA (ENSECAG00000044161.1)". The record is from RNAcentral. Lineage: Eukaryota; Metazoa; Chordata; Mammalia; Perissodactyla; Equidae.